Long non-coding RNA from Ipomoea nil (Japanese morning glory), 96 nucleotides. RefSeq lists it as uncharacterized. The record is from RefSeq and is a predicted model, not a curated record. The transcript has 3 exons. NCBI's taxonomy places the organism in Eukaryota, Viridiplantae, Streptophyta, Magnoliopsida, Solanales, Convolvulaceae.
UGAUUAAUCAAUUAAACACUUAAGGGGAUAUUUAGUUCAAGUUAUAUAAAAUAACUAAGGUUAUAUUUGCAUGGGAAUAUAAGAUUCCAAUGUUUG